This 695-nucleotide ribosomal RNA is filed under the name uncultured archaeon. RNAcentral's name for it is "bacterial SSU rRNA". It matches the Rfam family "Archaeal small subunit ribosomal RNA", at positions 187 to 879 of the family's 1478-position model. The record is from RNAcentral.
GGUUAUGCUCUCUGGCAACGCCCAAGGAUGAGGCCGCGACCGAUCAGGUUGUUGGUGAGGUAAUGGCUCACCAAGCCUUUUACCGGUGCGGGCCGUGAGAGCGGGAGCCCGGAGAUGGGCACUGAGACAAGGGCCCAGGCCCUACGGGGCGCAGCAGUCGCGAAAACUUUGCAAUACACGAAAGUGUGACAGGGCUAUCCCGAGUGCCAUCCGCUGAGGAAGGCUUUUACCCAGUCUAGAACGCUGGGGGAAUAAGGAGAGGGCAAGUCUGGUGUCAGCCGCCGCGGUAAUACCAGCUCUCCGAGUGGUGUGGAUGUUUAUUGGGCCUAAAGCAUCCGUAGCUGGCUAAGUUAGUCCCCUGUUAAAUCCACCGAAUUAAUCGUUGGUUUGCGGGGGAUACUGCUUGGCUAGGGGACGAGAGAGGCAGACGGUAUUUCCGGGGUAGGGGUGAAAUCCUAUAAUCCCGGGAAGACCACCAGUGGCGAAGGCUGUCUGCUAGAACGCGCCCGACGGUGAGGGAUGAAAGCUGGGGGAGCGAACCGGAUUAGAUACCCGGGUAGUCCCAGCUGUAAACGAUGCAGGCUAGGUGUUUGGACGGCCACGUGCCGUUCUAGUGCCGCAGGGAAGCUGUUAAGCCUGCCGCCUGGGGAGUACGAUCGCAAGAUUGAAACUUAAAGGAAUUGGCGGGGGAGCAC